Molecule: small nucleolar RNA, 107 nt
Organism: Hevea brasiliensis (rubber tree)
Lineage: Eukaryota; Viridiplantae; Streptophyta; Magnoliopsida; Malpighiales; Euphorbiaceae
Source: RefSeq, a predicted model, not a curated record
AUUUGAUGAUGGGGACAGCUUGCACACAGUUUCUUAAAUCAUUCCCAAUACUCAUAUAAGCUCUUUUUAUUGUACUGCCAUAUGCCACAAAUUUCUUUUCUUAUAUU